RNAcentral lists this ribosomal RNA (254 nucleotides) under uncultured bacterium. Its description in RNAcentral is "partial 16S ribosomal RNA". It matches the Rfam family "Bacterial small subunit ribosomal RNA", at positions 524 to 776 of the family's 1533-position model. The record is from RNAcentral.
UACGGAGGGUGCGAGCGUUGUCCGGAAUCACUGGGCGUAAAGGGCGCGUAGGCGGCCCGCGCAAGCGUGCGGUGAAAGCCCGGGGCUCAACCCCGGGUCGGCCGUGCGGACUGCGGGGCUCGAGCACUGUAGGGGCAGAUGGAAUUCCGGGUGUAGCGGUGGAAUGCGUAGAGAUCCGGAAGAACACCGGUGGCGAAGGCGGUCUGCUGGGCAGUAGCUGACGCUGAGGCGCGAAAGCCAGGGGAGCAAACGGG